AUUGAACGCUGGCGGCAUGCCUUACACAUGCAAGUCGAACGGUAACGGGCCUUCGGGUGCCGACGAGUGGCGAACGGGUGAGUAAUACAUCGGAACGUGCCCGAUCGUGGGGGAUAACGAGGCGAAAGCUUUGCUAAUACCGCAUACGAUCUACGGAUGAAAGCAGGGGACCGCAAGGCCUUGCGCGGACGGAGCGGCCGAUGGCAGAUUAGGUAGUUGGUGGGAUAAAAGCUUACCAGGCCGACGAUCUGUAGCUGGUCUGAGAGGAUGAUCAGCCACACUGGGACUGAGACACGGCCCAGACUCCUACGGGAGGCAGCAGUGGGGAAUUUUGGACAAUGGGCGCAAGCCUGAUCCAGCCAUGCCGCGUGCAGGAUGAAGGCCUUCGGGUUGUAAACUGCUUUUGUACGGAACGAAAAGCCUUCUUUUAAUACAGGAGGGUCAUGACGGUACCGUAAGAAUAAGCACCGGCUAACUACGUG
This 482-nucleotide ribosomal RNA is filed under the name uncultured bacterium. Its description in RNAcentral is "partial 16S ribosomal RNA". It matches the Rfam family "Bacterial small subunit ribosomal RNA", at positions 30 to 507 of the family's 1533-position model. The record is from RNAcentral.